RNAcentral lists this ribosomal RNA (409 nucleotides) under uncultured Methanolinea sp. RNAcentral's name for it is "bacterial SSU rRNA". It matches the Rfam family "Archaeal small subunit ribosomal RNA", at positions 932 to 1334 of the family's 1478-position model. Lineage: Archaea; Methanobacteriati; Methanobacteriota; Methanomicrobia; Methanomicrobiales; Methanoregulaceae. The record is from RNAcentral.
AGAUAAGACAGCUGAAUGAUAGUCGGGCUGAAGACUCUACUUGACUAGCUGAGAGGAGGUGCAUGGCCGUCGUCAGUUCGUACUGUGAAGCAUCCUGUUAAGUCAGGCAACGAGCGAGACCCACGCCAACAGUUGCCAGCAUGUCCUCCGGGAUGAUGGGGACACUGUUGGGACCGCCUCUGCUAAAGAGGAGGAAGGAAUGGGCAACGGUAGGUCAGCAUGCCCCGAAUUAUCCGGGCUACACGCGGGCUACAAUGGUCAGGACAAUGGGUAUCAACACCGAAAGGUGAAGGCAAUCUCCUAAACCUGUCCUUAGUUCGGAUUGUGGGCUGCAACUCGCCCACAUGAAGCUGGAAUCUGUAGUAAUCGCGUCUCAAAAUGGCGCGGUGAAUAUGUCCCUGCCGUCCUU